UGGGGAAUAUUGCACAAUGGAGGGAACUCUGAUGCAGCGACGCCGCGUGAACGAAGAAGGCUUUCGUGUUGUAAAGUUCUUUUAUAUGGGAAGAUAAUGACGGUACCAUAAGAAAAAGCCCCGGCUAACUACGUGCCAGCAGCCGCGGUAAUACGUAGGGGGCUAGCGUUGUCCGGAAUCACUGGGCGUAAAGGGUUCGCAGGCGGAAAUGCAAGUCAGGUGUAAAAGGCAGUAGCUUAACUACUGUAAGCAUUUGAAACUGCAUAUCUUGAGAAGAGUAGAGGUGAGUGGAAUUUUUAGUGUAGCGGUGAAAUGCGUAGAUAUUAAAAAGAAUACCGGUGGCGAAGGCGACUUACUGGGCUCAUUCUGACGCUGAGGAACGAAAGCGUGGGUAGCAAACAGG
RNAcentral lists this ribosomal RNA (403 nucleotides) under Fusobacteriota bacterium. RNAcentral's name for it is "Fusobacteria bacterium partial 16S ribosomal RNA". It matches the Rfam family "Bacterial small subunit ribosomal RNA", at positions 355 to 776 of the family's 1533-position model. Lineage: Bacteria; Fusobacteriati; Fusobacteriota. The record is from RNAcentral.